UAAUUAUGAUUAAAAUGACGAGUUUAUCAUUAGUGACCGCUUAAAAAUUCGAUUUUAGUUUAAACUCUAAUUGAUAUUACGAAUCUUAUCAAUGCAUGGCUCCCAUGAUCCGCUUGAAAAAAUGACGAAAUGUUUUCCUUUACGAAUACACAUCUUGGUAUAUUUUUCGUACAUUUUGAAUUGAAUCCGGGUGGCUGGCUCACUUUCAUUCAAAGAGUAUCGCAGGGUGACAGGCGCCGCGGCGCCGGGAGUGUCGCGUCGACGUGGCGCCUCCGCCCUCGGUCUGGAGUGACCCCUACCAUGGGACGGCGACUCGACAAAAACACUAUCAUAACUCGAAAAAGAUUCAAUAGAAACACGGGCUGUAUUAGAAUUGCACCCGAAACCACAACGCCUAUAACGUUACUACGCUAAUAUACCUACUGUUUAGAGCGUGGACUGUAUUUUUGUGUACUAGCUUCAAUAAAAACUAGAUUCAGA
Bombyx mori (domestic silkworm) is the source of this 480-nucleotide long non-coding RNA. RefSeq lists it as uncharacterized. The record is from RefSeq and is a predicted model, not a curated record. Lineage: Eukaryota; Metazoa; Arthropoda; Insecta; Lepidoptera; Bombycidae. The transcript is spliced from 2 exons.